Long non-coding RNA from Junco hyemalis (dark-eyed junco), 1181 nucleotides. Lineage: Eukaryota; Metazoa; Chordata; Aves; Passeriformes; Passerellidae. The record is from Ensembl.
AUUUUAAAAUGUUUCUGCCAAGAGAAAUGACCGCAGUACUGUAUGAAGCUAUGGAAAAAACAGCUGAAUCUUUUUAUAUGCUGAUGCUGUUAUAAUAUCUAGUCCCUUCUGUUGAAAACAUAAGUUAAGGAAAUGUGUGCAUGGAAGUUCAGAAAUAAAUACCUGGACUUCUUUUAACAUGACACUGGAGAUGGUGGAAGAACCAGAAAGCUCCACUGCUUUUCCAUGGUGUAAACUACUGCUGAAAAUCAUAAAGAAGAAGAAAAAAAACCUUGAUUUGUAGUUCUGAAUAAAAUGACAUUAAGAGAACAUAUGUUUCUUUAUCACAUAUUACUUAAGAGAUUCUGACACUGUGUCCAAAGCAACUCCAUCUUCAAGGGGGAAAAAAGAAAAUCAUGCCAAAUCUGAUAGUCUUCUGAUGCGUUCCAUUAGUUGUGGAUUUCUACAAGGAUUUUUCAAACAAAAAAUUAAUUAUUAUUAACAGCAAUGGCUUUACUCAAGAUGACACAAAUAAGGUAACAGAAGCAUGUCAAAGUGGUACAGUUUGAGCUGAAAUCUAACUAUUCUACAGCAGCGGAAAGGGUUGAAGAUAACCUUGUUCAUCAGAGGAGAUUCAGAUGGAUCACUUUACCAGCUGUCAAGGCCAAUACUUCUGUACAGUCCCUGCUCUCAGCAACAUCCUCAGUGUCCUGGUGGUGGGGUGUCUUGGAAGGACUGUGCAGAUCAAGCUUCACACUCCCUCUGCACUUGAGGCUCUCUCUGCUGAGGCAAUGAACACAGACCUAUACUUCACACUGGUUUAUCACAGGAAUUUUUCCAGUCCCUGUUCAAACAGCUUCUGCCUGAGCAUCUCUGAACAGCCAUUUGGAGCAACUGGAAAGCAGACACAUCACAGAAACAAAGCUGGCAGCAGAAAGCUGCACCAUUCGGAAGAAGCAAGGCAGUCUUUCCUCACAGCUACGAUGCUGCACCGCUUUCGACAGAACCUGCUUUUCCCUCCAUUUACCUGGGCGGCUGCUGCUCUUUCUGCUGCUGCUGGGGCUGCUGCAGUCCUGCUGCCUGCACUUCCCCCUGGCUUGGCUGGCUCGAAACUCUCUCGUCUGCACAUUGCUAAGGAAGAAGAGCGAUGGAGCCGCGGAUUUUUUUUAUUGGUUCUGGAAGCCAAGGGUUGCAAUAUGUGA